GUGGGGAAUAUUGCACAAUGGGCGCAAGCCUGAUGCAGCAACGCCGCGUGAGGGAUGACGGCCUUCGGGUUGUAAACCUCUUUUAGUAGGGAAGAAGCGAAAGUGACGGUACCUGCAGAAAAAGCACCGGCUAACUACGUGCCAGCAGCCGCGGUCAUACGUAGGGUGCAAGCGUUGUCCGGAAUUAUUGGGCGUAAAGAGCUCGUAGGCGGCUUGUCGCGUCUGCUGUGAAAACCCGAGGCUCAACCUCGGGCCUGCAGUGGGUACGGGCAGGCUAGAGUGCGGUAGGGGAGAUUGGAAUUCCUGGUGUAGCGGUGGAAUGCGCAGAUAUCAGGAGGAACACCGAUGGCGAAGGCAGAUCUCUGGGCCGUAACUGACGCUGAGGAGCGAAAGCAUGGGGAGCGAACAGGAUUAGAAACCCGGGUAGUCC
RNAcentral lists this ribosomal RNA (430 nucleotides) under uncultured bacterium. RNAcentral describes it as "partial 16S ribosomal RNA". It matches the Rfam family "Bacterial small subunit ribosomal RNA", at positions 354 to 796 of the family's 1533-position model. The record is from RNAcentral.